Molecule: ribosomal RNA, 253 nt
Filed under: uncultured bacterium
Lineage: Bacteria
Description: partial 16S ribosomal RNA
Rfam family: Bacterial small subunit ribosomal RNA
Source: RNAcentral
UACGUAGGGGGCAAGCGUUAUCCGGAUUUAUUGGGCGUAAAGCGCGCGUAGGCGGCCGAUCGCGUCGGAUGUGAAAGCUCGGGGCUCAACCCUGAGAGGCCAUUCGAUACGGGUCGGCUAGAGGCAGGUAGGGGAAGGUGGAAUUCCUGGUGUAGCGGUGAAAUGCGCAGAUAUCAGGAGGAACACCGGUGGCGAAGGCGGCUCUCUGGGACGGUACUGACGCUGAGACGCGAAAGCGUGGGGAGCGAACAGG